GACGAACGCUGGCGGCGUGCCUAAUACAUGCAAGUAGAACGCAGUAGCGAACGGGUGAGUAACGCGUAGGUAACUGCCUCAUAGCGGGGGAUAACUAUUGGAAACGAUAGCUAAUACCGCAUACUGUGAGAUGGACCUGCGUUGUAUUACCUAGUUGGAUGGGUAAAGUCUCACCAAGGCGACGAUACAUAGCCGACCUGAGAGGGUGAUCGGCCACACUGGGGCUGGGGCACGGCCCAAACCCCUACUGGAGGGAGCAGUAGGGAAACUUCGGGAAUGGGCGGAAGGCUGACCCGGCAACGCCGCGUGAGUGAAGGAAGGUUUCGGGUCGUAAAGCUCUGUUGUUAAAGAAGCGGUAUCUAACCAGAAAGGGACGGCUAACUACGUGCCAGCAGCCGCGGUAAUUC
Molecule: ribosomal RNA, 407 nt
Filed under: uncultured bacterium
Lineage: Bacteria
Description: partial 16S ribosomal RNA
Rfam family: Bacterial small subunit ribosomal RNA
Source: RNAcentral